This 407-nucleotide ribosomal RNA is filed under the name uncultured bacterium. RNAcentral describes it as "partial 16S ribosomal RNA". It matches the Rfam family "Bacterial small subunit ribosomal RNA", at positions 28 to 526 of the family's 1533-position model. The record is from RNAcentral.
GACGAACGCUGGCGGCGUGCCUAAUACAUGCAAGUAGAACGCAGUUGCGAACGGGUGAGUAACGCGUAGGUAACUGCCUGGUAGCGGGGGAUAACUAUUGGAAACGAUAGCUAAUACCGCAUACUACCAGAUGGACCUGCGUUGUAUUAGCUAGUUGGUGGGGUAACGGCUCACCAAGGCAACGAUACAUAGCCUACCUGGGAGGGUGGUCGGCCACACUGGGAAUGGGACACGGCCCAAGAUCCUACAGGAGGGAGCAGGAGGGAAUCUUGGGCAAGGGGGGGAAACUUGACCGAGCAACGCCGAGUGAGUGAAGAAGGUUUUCGGAUCGUAAAGGUAGGUUGUUAAGGAAGCGUUACUUAACCAGAAAGGGACGGCUAACUACGUGCCAGCAGCCGCGGUAAUUC